Molecule: long non-coding RNA, 221 nt
Filed under: Elaeis guineensis (African oil palm)
Lineage: Eukaryota; Viridiplantae; Streptophyta; Magnoliopsida; Arecales; Arecaceae
Description: long non-coding RNA (EGUI_LNC041154)
Source: RNAcentral
AAGAUUUAGAGAAUCUAACUAAUUAGGAAGUAAAUUAUACUAAGAUUCAAAAGCAGUUAGGUCUCCUACAAAUAAAGCAAGCAAUUAAAUCUACUUUAAAAGUAGUAAAUUAUUUUAAAUUAUAAAAAAUAGUAAAUCACUAUUUUAUAGAAAGCAAAAUUUUUUUUUAAGUAAUCUAACUAGAAAGCAGUAAAACUACCACAUAUGAAAAGCAAUAAGGC